GUGAGGAAUAUUGGUCAAUGGGCGCAAGCCUGAACCAGCCAUCCCGCGUGCAGGAUGACGGCCCUAUGGGUUGUAAACUGCUUUUAUACACCAAGAAAAAACAGGACGUGUCCUGUCCCGACGGUAGUGUAUGAAUAAGCAUCGGCUAACUCCGUGCCAGCAGCCGCGGUAAUACGGAGGAUGCAAGCGUUAUCCGGAUUCAUUGGGUUUAAAGGGUGCGUAGGCGGCUUUUUAAGUCAGUGGUGAAAUCCUGUCGCUUAACGAUAGAAUUGCCAUUGAUACUGAAGAGCUUGAGUACAAUUGAGGUAAGCGGAAUGUGUAGUGUAGCGGUGAAAUGCUUAGAUAUUACACAGAACACCAAUUGCGAAGGCAGCUUACUAAACUGUCACUGACGCUGAUGCACGAAAGCGUGGGGAGCGAACAGGAUUAGAUACCCUUGUAGUCC
This 445-nucleotide ribosomal RNA is filed under the name uncultured bacterium. Its description in RNAcentral is "bacterial SSU rRNA". It matches the Rfam family "Bacterial small subunit ribosomal RNA", at positions 354 to 796 of the family's 1533-position model. The record is from RNAcentral.